CUCUGUAGUUACCAUACCUCCUUGGGACAAAGGGAUAAACUACAGCCACAGCAGCUACUGCCAAUCUCCCAUUUCUCUGUAAUCUGAGGGAAGAUGCCUCCUGAGGGAACAGAGCAGCAAGCAACCUGACUGGAGAAACAAGAAUGGAAAUGCACCGAUGGUGGCAAACUCCAGGCCAAUGGCUUUGAUCAGCUGUAUCCUCCCUAGUGGGGAGCAGUCCUGGCUCCUGACAAGAUCCAGGCUGAGAACGAAUGGCCAGCUCAGGCCCACACCUGCGGAUAAGUAGGAUAAAGCUCAAAGAGGAUAAGUAAUCAACCCACGGUUUUCUGGAAUGCAAGCUAAUCAAUGUGGAAGCACAACAGAAUUAGAAAACCACCAUGUUGCAGUCCUCAGCAUAAUAAUCAGCCCAGAUGGGCAAGCUGAGGGUGCAGGAGAGUCUCUUAAUCAUCAUCGUUGCUAUCACAGCACAAACAGCAGGCACGCUUGCUCUGUAUCAGGCUCUGCAAACACUUUAUAUCUAUCACCUUACUUAUCACUCCGACCCUGUGCCGCGAGCAUUAUUAUGACCACUUGAACUGUGGAGAUACUGAGUUAAGGGGAGGUUAAAUCACCUUUCCCAUCUCAAGAUCACACUUGUUUGGUAGGUGUUGGUCUGGGAUUCAAACCCAAGUCCAUCGGACUCUACGCCCACAUUCUCGAGCACUGCUAACACUACCUCUCAAAUGUGUGCAGUGUGCCAAGUGCCACCGGGCUAGGGCAGCCACUGUGACAGUGAACCGCACACACUACCACUCAGAGGAGUCUAUCUGGACCUCUUUUAAGUGUAUGCAAGUUAUUCUUUAGACCCAAUCUAAAAAGAAAAGAAAAGCAGCCUCAACAACAAUUAAAAUUAUAUUUUGGCUGCAGAAGCCUCCAGCAGCAAUGGCUUAUGCUUGUCUCAGGCCUGCUACAUGCCAUGUACUGUUCUAAUCAACACCACACAUAUGGUGGUGGACACAGCACAGCUCACCCAUAUUCCUGGGCUUCUGGACCAUUUCUGCCACCUUGAAUUUAUGCACAGCCAUGCAGUUUGCUCUGGCCAAUGAAACGCAAGCAGAGUGAUUUGUGUCACAGGCUGUUGAAGCGUCUGAGAGCCAGUACAUCAUUCACGUAAUCUGUCUUCUUCGCGGUAGCAAGCAUGGGAGCACAUUGAUAUGAAGGGGCCGUAAAACUGAAGCAGCCUGGAGGAUGUUGGGCCAACACACGAAAGCAACUGUCCUGGAAGUCAUCCAAAUCUUCGGAAGACAUUGCACGAAUAGGAAAUAAACUUUGGUUGCAAUAAA
Molecule: long non-coding RNA, 1322 nt
Organism: Suricata suricatta (meerkat)
Lineage: Eukaryota; Metazoa; Chordata; Mammalia; Carnivora; Herpestidae
Exons: 3
Source: RefSeq, a predicted model, not a curated record